CUCACACAAUGUUACGCAAGAUGAUUUGAAAAGUUCUCUCCCCUAUGUCGUGGGUAUUUUAUGGGUGGAUCGAGUUAUGCAAGUAUUUCAUAGGGCAUCAUUUUUUUACAGUUGGAAGGAUGACCGGAUGGAAUAUUUUUAAUUGUGUAAUUUAUGCUGGAAAUGUGGGAGAUUUUUUUAACUUGAGCUGACCCCGAGAAGACGCCGAGGUAAGGAACAAGAAUAACAAAUCGUAUUGUUGUCGGGUCGGGUCAUAUGCCACUCGAAGUUUGUGUUGAUGGACAUAGGUCACCCACAAGGGGACCUUUGAGAUCAAUUCAAACCUGUGUUUGUGUUUGUUGCUAUAUUUGCAUGAGGAGGAAGCGUCGAAAAGCAGGCGUCGUGUUGAAUCUGGUUGUGAAUGAGGUGCUGCUGAUCAGGAAAAAAUAAACCAAACGAUGAUGAUGCUGCUGCUGAUGAUGAUGAGUCAAAGUUUCGAAAAAUCGUCUGUCAGCCCUCUUUGAUUUAUGGAGGAGAUGAUUGACACACAACGUAAACAAAUAACAAAUGGCUCCACUUCACCCAAGAUAAUUGAUUCUUAACAGCAAAUAGGCUUUCUUCCAGCCAUGUCUGAUUUAUUCGGAUACUGGGUCAUUUAGGUUACGGAUGGAUGAAGCUUCAUUAACAAAAAGUUGGUUGGUGCAGUGCAAGCAACUUAAGCGUGGGUGGAUGUGACAAUGGCAAUAAGUCACAAAUUGGAUGUGCAGUGCAGUGGAGACGACUAUCUCGUACCACUAACAUGACUUGAAGAGUUUCCGUCGUGGUGGUAGAUUUUGGACCAAGGAGCGGAUGUGACAUAAAUGAAGUCGUCGUCGUCGUCUGUCUGUCCAUAUAAUUGGAUUCAGUUUGGGCCUUCCUUCCAAAACAAUGUGCACUUUCUGGCACGCGUUUCUUGUUUACAAUGUGUCAUUAAUUAGCAGCUCAAUUAUCCUGGCAACAAACAUUAUACAAGGCUAACUGCUCUAACUUCCGCUCAACUAAAAACUGGACCCAGCUGCGACAUAGUUUACACAUCGUAAUAAUCUGUCUUUGUUGUAUUCGUAUAUGACCUGCCCAAUUUUUAGCCCAAUAAUAAGCACCAUAAAUUGGGAAUGGAUCAGAAGGAAAAUAUGGCCCUGCAAAA
Folsomia candida is the source of this 1162-nucleotide long non-coding RNA. RefSeq lists it as uncharacterized. The record is from RefSeq and is a predicted model, not a curated record. The transcript has 3 exons. Lineage: Eukaryota; Metazoa; Arthropoda; Collembola; Entomobryomorpha; Isotomidae.